AUGGUGCUCCCUUUGAUCAGGUAUCUAUGUGUCUAAAUAUGCUGAUAAUUGUUGAUUUGUGUGUUUAAACUCUGUUCUUUGUGCUGAUACCAUAGCAUGGUGCCAUGGGGGUCAUCCAGAGAAGUGGAUAGCUAGUUUAUAAAAUGUUAGCUUUUGUAUGUUAUCACGUGCUUGCAUUUAGCUUCAAGUUUUCCCUCUUAUGGGCGGAUUAUUUUUUCAUAUGUUGGUAUUUUGUUCUAUGUAAAAGCCAUUUGAACAUAUAGCAUAUCUCUCUGAAUUUACAUGAGAAU
This 290-nucleotide unclassified non-coding RNA is filed under the name Hevea brasiliensis (rubber tree). Lineage: Eukaryota; Viridiplantae; Streptophyta; Magnoliopsida; Malpighiales; Euphorbiaceae. The record is from RNAcentral.